GACGAACGCUGGCGGCGUGCCUAAUACAUGCAAGUCGAACGCACUGACAGAGAAACUUGUUUCUCUAGACGUGAGUGGCGCACGGGUGAGUAACACGUGGGAAACCUACCCUUCAGCGGGGGAUAACCGUCGGAAACGAUGGCUAAUACCGCAUAGGUCUUUUAACCACCUGGUUGAAAGAGGAAAGACGGCUUCGGCUGUCACUGAAGGAUGGUCCCGCGGUGCAUUAGCUAGUUGGUAAGGUAACGGCUUACCAAGGCGAUGAUGCAUAGCCGACCUGAAAGGGUGAUCGGCCACAUUGGGACUGAGACAAGG
This 315-nucleotide ribosomal RNA is filed under the name uncultured bacterium. RNAcentral's name for it is "bacterial SSU rRNA". It matches the Rfam family "Bacterial small subunit ribosomal RNA", at positions 28 to 329 of the family's 1533-position model. The record is from RNAcentral.